Molecule: long non-coding RNA, 206 nt
Filed under: Lathyrus oleraceus (garden pea)
Lineage: Eukaryota; Viridiplantae; Streptophyta; Magnoliopsida; Fabales; Fabaceae
Description: Pisum sativum (pea) long non-coding RNA (PSAT_LNC033959)
Source: RNAcentral
ACACAUUUGAAGUGAGUUGAAUUUACCAAUUAGAAGUAUGUACAAAAUGAGGUCAAAGUAUGAAUUAGAGUUCAUUUACAAUGAGUAUUAGUGAAAAGAGUUUGAAAAAUCAAAGGCAUAUGGCCUAGGUUUCUAAUUUGAAAACAAAUGUCAAAUGUUUGCACAAAAUGUUUUUCGGUUUGGGUUAGCAUGAAGGUAUGAAGAAG